AGGUCAGCAUCAAUGGAAGAAGAUUGCAGAGGGGAAGGACAGUUACAGGAGGAAGCUGGAGAGCAAGCUCCAGCAGAACAACCUGAGGGAGGUGUGGAAGGGGAUGAGAACCAUCACUGGUCAUGGUAA
Long non-coding RNA from Thalassophryne amazonica, 129 nucleotides. RefSeq lists it as uncharacterized. Lineage: Eukaryota; Metazoa; Chordata; Actinopteri; Batrachoidiformes; Batrachoididae. The record is from RefSeq and is a predicted model, not a curated record. The transcript is spliced from 3 exons.